GACGAACGCUGGCGGCGUGCUUAACACAUGCAAGUCGAACGGAAAGGCCCUGCUUUUGUGGGGUGCUCGAGUGGCGAACGGGUGAGUAACACGUGAGUAACCUGCCCUUGACUUUGGGAUAACUUCAGGAAACUGGGGCUAAUACCGGAUAGGAGCUCCUGCUGCAUGGUGGGGGUUGGAAAGUUUCGGCGGUUGGGGAUGGACUCGCGGCUUAUCAGCUUGUUGGUGGGGUAGUGGCUUACCAAGGCUUUGACGGGUAGCCGGCCUGAGAGGGUGACCGGCCACAUUGGGACUGAGAUACGGCCCAGACUCUUACGGGUGGCAGCAGUGGGGAAUAUUGCACAAUGGGCGGAGGCCUGAUGCAGCAACGCCGCGUGCGGGAUGACGGCCUUCGGGUUGUAAACCGCUUUCGCCUGUGACGAAGCGUGCGUGACGGUAAUGGGUAAAGAAGCACCGGCUAACUACGUG
Molecule: ribosomal RNA, 468 nt
Filed under: uncultured bacterium
Lineage: Bacteria
Description: partial 16S ribosomal RNA
Rfam family: Bacterial small subunit ribosomal RNA
Source: RNAcentral